RNAcentral lists this non-coding RNA (23 nucleotides) under Rattus norvegicus (Norway rat). The record is from RNAcentral. Lineage: Eukaryota; Metazoa; Chordata; Mammalia; Rodentia; Muridae.
UAGAUCCUGCAGAGUCACCCUCA